RNAcentral lists this long non-coding RNA (1753 nucleotides) under Homo sapiens (human). RNAcentral describes it as "HSALNT0393521". The record is from RNAcentral. Lineage: Eukaryota; Metazoa; Chordata; Mammalia; Primates; Hominidae.
CCUACUAUGCAAGCCCUGGCAAAGAAUUACAAACACAAAAAUCUUACAGCUAGAAGAGAGACAUCUAGUGUGUGUUGGAGAACUUUAUAUAUUGUGCUUCAGGCAUAAUUAAUACAGCAAAAUCACUGCAGUCGUUUUGCAUACUGUGGUGGGAGAUUUUUGACAAAUAUCUUUCACCCUCAAUUCAUUUCAAAAUUUCUUCCCGGCUGUGUGACAUUUUUGCCUAAUUAGAUACCUUCUUCUUAACAUAAGCCUAACCCAAUGAAGUUUUCUCCGUGAUGCAAAGUUUUAAAGUUUCAUGGUCACCUUUGCAACCUAAUUAGUAAACAUUUAACCUACUGUCAUCAUAACCACUGCUCACAAUUCUUUCCAUUCAGGCAGCAGCAGGACUCCCGAGUCAAACUGUUGCAGUCAGUGUUUUAGUUUCCUGAAUAUCAGCCCCUCGUAGUAAGCCAAAUGCCACACAAAUACAAACACGAGGAAUAAAUCGGCACACUGCCCAUUAUCCAGGAGACAAACGGAUCCACUGCUAUUUUAAAUUCACCAAGUAGGCUAUUAGUUGCCACAGAUUCCCAUAUAUGUAGGUGAAUUCCUUGAUGCAGAAUCAGGUUUAAUGAAUCAUUCUACAGCAUCAGCCUCAGCCUUUUAAAAUCCUUUAUUUUCUCCUUUUCCACAUUAAAAACACAUUUGAGAUAUACACAGAAAAUGUUUCUCUAAAAAAACGCACACAUACACACAAAACAGGAGGUCUCUUAAGGAGUCUACUGCUGAGAAGGUAAAAGCAUUUUGCUCAUUUUUAAUUUGCUAAAACAAUCCAAGCAUGCUUGGUACCCAGAGGGUAUUCUCAAAUAAACUUGUAUCUCUAGCUGCCAGCUUAGUUGAUUGAAAACAGAAGGCAAACGUUUCUUAAAGAAUAUGUUAAACUGUUAUGUCUCCCAGUACCACUCAGGAUACACACACACACACACAGACACACACACGCACACAUACCGCAUAGUCAAGGAUUUGCUUGAAAGCAGCCAGUUCUAUUAUCUAAAAGGUAAUACAUUUGUACCAAAUUACUCCUGCCUACUGCGGUGCACCUUUUAGCGAAGAAGCCAGUGCCACUGGGAUCCUGGACAGUUCUGGUGUGCCAUUCUCCACGUACAAAGCCAACGGCCCCAUUUGCGACUUUGCUAACUUAGUUGGCUUCCGCCCAGCCGAACCCCGAAGCACAGUCACUGAAAACGUUUUGAUACCAGAAAAUCAUUUCCACGACAGUGCAAGUGUUCGAAAGCACAAAGGCAGACUGUCUACCCGCGACAGUUCGCAAGUUGCGGUGGCGGGGCGGCUGUGCGGAGCGCGCGUGCAGGGUCCAACGCAGGAUGCCUGGAAGCCGAAUGGACACAGAUAGGACUGAAGAGAACAGAACACAAGACUUUUUGUAGAAACUCUGCAGGUCAGAAGAUUUUUGUAUGGAAUGAUCUUCUCCAAUCAAUUAUUUGAAUCUAAGGUGUGCUCAAGAGGAGAAUCAGUUUCCCAUUCAACCACUUAGGAUUCUUUCUCUCUGCGUCCUAAAUUUGGCUUUGAGACCUUGGAUGAUGAUUCUCCUAAUCUGGUCAAUGGACCACCUGCAAGAAUCACCCAGGACUGGAGCCCAGGAAUCUGCUCAGUAACGUGACUGGGGUGCAUAGGAAGAGAAGAUCAUCAGUGGCAAAUGGCAGUCACAGGAAAGCAACACCCACAGCCGGUUUCACACGUGUGGAGAGCACCC